RNAcentral lists this long non-coding RNA (2868 nucleotides) under Mytilus galloprovincialis (Mediterranean mussel). Lineage: Eukaryota; Metazoa; Mollusca; Bivalvia; Mytilida; Mytilidae. The record is from RNAcentral.
GAUAUAUUUAAAGCAAUAUCCACUACAAAAGAAAAUACAUAUGCAGUAACAGUCUAUGAGAAUGAUUUUGACAAGACAUCAUCAUCGAUCAUCAGUUAUACACAGACAGAUAGCGCUGUUGAACGUCAAAGUAAGAUUACUUGAUUUUUCUAAAUUUGCUAUGCUUAACGCAUUCUGACAUAACUGCUUAUAUCUUAUCAUAAUUUGAUUCCAGUGGCUAAACAUGCUGAAUAUUCAUGAACCAAAUGUUGCUUACCUGUUAUCUCAUUUAGAAGACAAACUGCAUAGUUUUAAUUUUACAUUGAUGUCAUUGUUUACUUGCACAUGUUAAACAAAUCAACAAAUUGCAGAAAUUAAAAUUUUGAUGAACGAGAAAUAUACUUACACCAUUUUGAGCUAAAAUUUAUUUGUUCAUGAAUUUGCAUUAAAAAUUGAGAAUGAAUGUGCUAUUUCGGGUCUUCAAAUUGCUCAUUGUCAAAUGCUGAACGAUGAACUAAAAUUGUUUGUUCACUUGUGGAGAGUUGUCGCAUUGGCAAUCAUAUCACAUCUUUUAUUAUAAUUAUUUAAGAUUUUUAGAAACUCUGGGGUUAUUUUUGGCAGCAGUUGUCUUUAGAACGGUCGCUUUUUGUUUAAAGACUUUAACAUUGGUUAAAAAUUGGCAUGUAGAAAGGUGAGGUUUGUACAAUUUAGGAUAUACCUGGCUCUACGAAGUUAAACUCAAGGUUCAAAAUGACUUGUCCAUGAGUUUGCAUUAAAACAUUGAGACAUACAGGGGUUAUUUUUUUUUUCAAAGAAUCACUAAUUUUUGGGACAAGACUUUAAACAUUGAUUGAAAAUUGGCAUGUACAAAGAUAAAACAUGACUAUUUCUAUGAUUCAGGAUAUACCUGAAUUCUAUAAAAUUAAACUUCAGGUUGAAUAUUAAGCUGAAGAAGCUGAGGAAAUAAAAAAAAACAUAGCUUGUAUUAUUGAUAUUGAUUUUAGAAGUGGGAAUUUUGUUUUAAUGAUACAAUAAGCCUCAUUGACCUGUGAUUUAAGAAAAUUCAAACCCCAUUUGCUUCUUGUCUGUCGUGGUAAAAUUCCAGGAAACGAAUGUCGUUUGCAGUGUUCUUCAAAAAUACAUAUAAAUAAACAACCUUUACCAAAAUAAUUAUUAUGCCAUAAACCUAAUCGAGCAAUUAUUCCUUUUCAGAUUUCACUGAAAUUCAUAUAAUAAAUAUCUUCCUUCUUGGGGGACUUCUGUUCGUUUUGAUUGCAGUUUUAUGGUAAGUUUAAAUUUCUUGCCCAAAAAUAUAUAUUUGCUGCAUAGCUUAUACAAUAUUGCAAGUCAAGUUACUCGUUUGAUUGAUUAUACUAAUCGUAUAAAAAAACAACACAUAGAAUAUGAUAGUUACAAACAUUAAUAAAUAUAAUGCAGAAGGAGCUUUUCACAUAGUCAGCGGCAUCGAGUUAUCGAACGUUUAUUUUAUUUUAGUUUAGUUUUGAUAUGUUUGUUGAAUUGUAUUUGAGGUCAAAAUAUAUACAAAAUAUGUGUAUAUAAUAACUCAAUGAACAGUCAUGAUUUUUUAACGGGGACGUAACACUAUUUGGCACUUGGAAAACAGUUCUUUGAUGGGUUGUCUCCAAAUUUUUUAUGACAAUACAAUGUAGAUUAGGUGCAUCUGACACUCAAUCAAUUAUGUUUUGAUUUGUGUUUUACAUCGUUUGGUUUUGUCAAAAGUAUAUAUGAAAACGCAUUAUAGAAGUAAUAACAUUCUUCAAAUAUCAUACGCAAACCGCACAUGCAUAUAUUUCUCCAAGAAAUGUUUUAACUGAGCUACUUAUAGAUUUAUAUGCCAUACACUUUUAGUUUGUUUGAACAUGAUUUAUCAAUAAUAAAAUUGAGAAAGGAAAUGGGGAAUGUGUCAAAGCGACAACAAUCCGACCAUAGAGCAGACAACAGCCGAAGGCCACCAAUAGGUCUUAAUAAGUUGUUAUUGGUUGACACUAGCUUUUAAUAAGAAUCUGAAAGUAAUCUUACAAUUUAGAUCAGUAUUUGAGUCCUUUUACUAUUAGAUCUCUAGUUUUCUGAUCUUUGUGUCGUCCGUCCGCUUCUGCUGAUAAACCAUUUAUACUUCAUAUUAUAUUAUCUAAUUAUUAUCAAACAAAAUGAAAAUCAUACAUGGUAUUGCUUGGAUGUCAAUGUGUAUUUCUUUGAAAAACAGUUAAAAUGGUCAUGUUUAUGUACAUUAUACCUGUUUAAUACGCUAAAGAAGUAUUUAAGAAAAACACGUAGUACAUGUGUAUAUAAAAGCCUACAUUAAUAUAUACAGUUCGUUAAAUCGUUAAACAAAUGCAGACAAAAAAAUGACAAUCACUAGACCAGUCUUCAACACAGAACACUGGUUUUUGUUCAUGAAUACAAAAUCGACCAAACAGGGGGAAUUCAAUAACUUCGUAAUGUUGUGUCGUGUGUGCUGUUGUUUGUUUGUCUUUUUCAUUUUUAGCCAUGGCGUUGUCAGUGUGUUUUAGAUUUAUGAGUUUGACUGUCCCUUUGGUAUCUUUCGUCCCUCUUUCGUAAAGGUCGAAAAUACUGAUUAAUUAACAGUUGUGCAAAUAGCCAAUGGUGGAGCAACGGUACCUCUUUUUUAAUAUAAACACAGUUAUUUCAAUUCUUUAGGAAGGCAUAUCUAAAAUCCCGAGUUAGAUGCUACGACCAUGCUACGGAACUUUCAUCGAAUCAAAGAACAACAGAGCAACCAGAUUCAACUGUUGAUGACCUUGACGGCAGUGAAACAUUUGGAGUUCAUUAUAGUGUCAUAAAUGAUUUGAGUUACAUGUAAAUAGUUGUUAACCAAAUUUAUGCAUAAACUUAUUAAAAGAAGAACCC